RNAcentral lists this ribosomal RNA (1372 nucleotides) under uncultured bacterium. Its description in RNAcentral is "bacterial SSU rRNA". It matches the Rfam family "Bacterial small subunit ribosomal RNA", at positions 28 to 1381 of the family's 1533-position model. The record is from RNAcentral.
GAUGAACGCUGGCGGCGUGCCUAAUACAUGCAAGUCGAGCGAACGGACGAGAAGCUUGCUUCUCUGAUGUUAGCGGCGGACGGGUGAGUAACACGUGGAUAACCUACCUAUAAGACUGGGAUAACUUCGGGAAACCGGAGCUAAUACCGGAUAAUAUUUUGAACCGCAUGGUUCAAAAGUAAAAGACGGUCUUGCUGUCACUUAUAGAUGGAUCCGCGCUGCAUUAGCUAGUUGGUAAGGUAACGGCUUACCAAGGCAACGAUGCAUAGCCGACCUGAGAGGGUGAUCGGCCACACUGGAACUGAGACACGGUCCAGACUCCUACGGGAGGCAGCAGUAGGGAAUCUUCCGCAAUGGGCGAAAGCCUGACGGAGCAACGCCGCGUGAGUGAUGAAGGUCUUCGGAUCGUAAAACUCUGUUAUUAGGGAAGAACAUAUGUGUAAGUAACUGUGCACAUCUUGACGGUACCUAAUCAGAAAGCCACGGCUAACUACGUGCCAGCAGCCGCGGUAAUACGUAGGUGGCAAGCGUUAUCCGGAAUUAUUGGGCGUAAAGCGCGCGUAGGCGGUUUUUUAAGUCUGAUGUGAAAGCCCACGGCUCAACCGUGGAGGGUCAUUGGAAACUGGAAAACUUGAGUGCAGAAGAGGAAAGUGGAAUUCCAUGUGUAGCGGUGAAAUGCGCAGAGAUAUGGAGGAACACCAGUGGCGAAGGCGACUUUCUGGUCUGUAACUGACGCUGAUGUGCGAAAGCGUGGGGAUCAAACAGGAUUAGAUACCCUGGUAGUCCACGCCGUAAACGAUGAGUGCUAAGUGUUAGGGGGUUUCCGCCCCUUAGUGCUGCAGCUAACGCAUUAAGCACUCCGCCUGGGGAGUACGACCGCAAGGUUGAAACUCAAAGGAAUUGACGGGGACCCGCACAAGCGGUGGAGCAUGUGGUUUAAUUCGAAGCAACGCGAAGAACCUUACCAAAUCUUGACAUCCUUUGACAACUCUAGAGAUAGAGCCUUCCCCUUCGGGGGACAAAGUGACAGGUGGUGCAUGGUUGUCGUCAGCUCGUGUCGUGAGAUGUUGGGUUAAGUCCCGCAACGAGCGCAACCCUUAAGCUUAGUUGCCAUCAUUAAGUUGGGCACUCUAAGUUGACUGCCGGUGACAAACCGGAGGAAGGUGGGGAUGACGUCAAAUCAUCAUGCCCCUUAUGAUUUGGGCUACACACGUGCUACAAUGGACAAUACAAAGGGCAGCGAAACCGCGAGGUCAAGCAAAUCCCAUAAAGUUGUUCUCAGUUCGGAUUGUAGUCUGCAACUCGACUACAUGAAGCUGGAAUCGCUGGUAAUCGUAGAUCAGCAUGCUACGGUGAAUACGUUCCCGGGUCU